CGGCGCAGGUGGAGGUCACACAAUCAUUAUGGAUUCGGGCUUCUUCUCCGCCGCACGUCUCGCAAUCGGUGCACACACUGAUCACUCAGUGCGCCAUGCUCGUGUACUGGCUCUUCUCAGCCUCUUGUGGGUCUUUUGCAGACCCACCGCCGCCUCUCUUCUGCGUUCUUGGACGCCAGUGCCGCGGCGCCAUGACGAAGACACUUGCUUUGGGACACCCGUCCGAGAGUCUUGCGCCUACGGAUACGCAGCCGAAUAGCAAACCUGCUUCAUUGACCGCCGCAACAACCGCCGCCUCUGCCGCUUCGCCGGGUUUGCCGUCUGUGCCAGCUUCGCAAGACAAAGCUGUGGAGCGCGCACAGCAGCGUUCACCUCUGCUACCUUCGUCCGAUGCUCCCACGAUGAAGGCGUCCCCGAAUGACGGCAAGUGGGUGGGACUGCAAGAGACUACCGAUGGGCGAGCGGGAACAGAAAACGAAACGGGAAGCAGGGAUGCCCACGGAGACGACCUCUGGCGUGAAGGCUCAACAUACACCGACAAGGACAACCUUGAGGAGCGACGGCGAGUAGAGCGGCGGCGCGAAGCAGACACGGAGAUUGGCACCAUGUCCUUGCUGCAGUGGAUGGACAUAUCCGCAUUGCCGGAGGGCCAGUUCGCCUACUUGAUCAAGCGCGCUUUCUUCGCUCCACGCUUUCCGAUCAGCGCUUGCGCGAGCGGUGCGGUGCUGUUGGCGAUCUGCGUCGAUGGCGACCCAGCAUGCUCGAUUCUACGCCCGAAAAAGGAGACGGUGCGGCAACAAGGAUGACGACCUGGGUAGUCUCCUGACGGACUUCCUCCUCGGCCAGCGGGCGACAGCGCGGCUCUCCAGCCGCUUCGAAUCUCACUGACUGCAGCAGCGUCGCCGCGCACGUGCGCUCCAUGACCCGAUUUAUAACCGAGCUUCACCUCCUGCCACAAAAGGCGUCGGCUCGCAACGCUAGUGGACGCGAGUUGAGGAUGCCGGUCAAGAAGCACGAGCGCGCCAUGGACCACGGCACGGCUCUCGCGGACGACUGCGAGCUGCUCAACGUUGACGGCGUCCUCUCCGCCGAAGCGCGCAUGGAGGGGCCCUCGGAGUCACUGCGCAUUCGGCGGUUUUUUCCGUUUCCGUGAACCAGACAGAGUCCCACCUGCGUGCCUUGACUAUUUUCUCCACGCUGUUCACAUUUGAUUUCUUCCGCUGCUGUUGUGGCAUCAACAGCACGUGCAUACACGACGGGGGGCAGAGCCAGGACACGAUGUGGUUCGUGCGUGCCGCACCGACUGCGACCGCGGCCGUGACGCGGUGAUGAAGUUGACGCAAGCUGUUCUAGGCGAUGUGCUCACAUGUUUAUGCCCCCACUCCCUGUGCAUCUGGGAACACUAGCACAGUCGCACACAAUCACAUGGGACGGCACCUGCCAUGCGCAGAUGGCGAGGGUAGGUCGCGCCGUUCACGCUAGGGCGGCGACUGCUGUCUUUUGUUUUCAUUGGGCCGUCUCCCUACCUCUAUGGGCCGACCUUUCCUCUGCCCUCGGCAUCUUCUCCUGCCUUCGAAGGGCAAGAAUCGAAACGGCGGAAAAAGGUCGCGCAGAACAUUCAUCGGGUUCGUGUGUGUGUGUUUUCGAAUUUGUUGCCCCGCCCCCCCCCCACUCGGGCCCAAAACCGACAACACUAAAUAGGAAGACGAAAUGCGGCCAUGAAGAGGCAUACGGCGGCGACGAGACGCUGUUGCAUGUUUCAGCAUGUGAGUGUGUGACAACCCACCCUUCGGGGGCCUGUACGAGUGAGGUCCUCACAUAGAUGCACACACACGCACACACAGGGCAUGCAACGCACGAGAGGGGCAGCCAGGAGACACCGUACGAAGGAAAAAAAGACGAAGCCUCCCGUCCAGCAGCACUGUUGUGUGUUGCCGCCUGCUCCAUUUCGACAUGGUUUUUCUGUGUUGUGCACCACCCUCUUUU
RNAcentral lists this unclassified non-coding RNA (1986 nucleotides) under Leishmania donovani. RNAcentral describes it as "gene:LdHU3.34.3360(CDS-product:hypothetical_prote in)". The record is from RNAcentral. Lineage: Eukaryota; Euglenozoa; Kinetoplastea; Trypanosomatida; Trypanosomatidae.